Molecule: transfer RNA, 75 nt
Filed under: Candidatus Altimarinota bacterium
Lineage: Bacteria; Candidatus Altimarinota
Description: Candidatus Gracilibacteria bacterium tRNA-Thr
Rfam family: tRNA
About the family: Transfer RNA (tRNA) molecules are approximately 80 nucleotides in length. Their secondary structure includes four short double-helical elements and three loops (D, anti-codon, and T loops). Further hydrogen bonds mediate the characteristic L-shaped molecular structure. tRNAs have two regions of fundamental functional importance: the anti-codon, which is responsible for specific mRNA codon recognition, and the 3' end, to which the tRNAs corresponding amino acid is attached (by aminoacyl-tRNA synthetases). tRNAs cope with the degeneracy of the genetic code in two manners: having more than one tRNA (with a specific anti-codon) for a particular amino acid; and 'wobble' base-pairing, i.e. permitting non-standard base-pairing at the 3rd anti-codon position.
Source: RNAcentral
GCCACCUUAGCUCAGUGGUAGAGCAUCGGUUUUGUAAACCGACGGUCGUGAGUUCAAAUCUCACAGGUGGCUCCA